CCUACGGGAGGCAGCAGUGAGGAAUAUUGGUCAAUGGCCGGAAGGCUGAUCCAGCCAUGCCGCGUGAAGGACAGUGCCCUAUGGGCGUUAAACUUCUUUUGUGCGGGAGCAAUAAUGGUCACGUGUGGCCAGACGAGAGUACCGUACGAAUAAGCAUCGCCUAACUCCGUGCCAGCAGCCGCGGUAAUACGGGGGAUGCAAGCGUUAUCCGGAGUUAUUGGGUUGAAAGGGUGCGGAGGCUGUGAGGUAAGUCAGCGGUGAAAUGCCCCGGGUCAACGGGGUGAAGUGCCAUUGAUACUGCGUGGCUGGAAUGCGGAUGCGGGGGGAGGAAUGUGUGGUGUAGCGGUGAAAUGCAUAGAUAUCA
This 364-nucleotide ribosomal RNA is filed under the name uncultured bacterium. RNAcentral describes it as "partial 16S ribosomal RNA". It matches the Rfam family "Bacterial small subunit ribosomal RNA", at positions 338 to 699 of the family's 1533-position model. The record is from RNAcentral.